GGGAGCAAAACAAAGAACCCUGAAAAGGGACAAUUUAGGCAACACCUUUAAAAGCUGAAGUGCAUUUUACCUUUAUGUGGUCGAUGAUUCUGAGCCCUGUUCUUAGUCACGUCUUGAUCACAACAAAGAAAACCUCUGGAGUGCUUUUAGAUGUUCUUUUCCUCUGGACACUUUCUUGAGGUAUCCUUGAGGUUUUCUCACAGCAAAAGGUGUGUCUGUGUCAGGGCAUGGAACACGACACUGGAGCAGCCAGGACAGGGCCAGGAACCCCUCAGAGCCUGUGAGGAGUAAAAAUUGCAUCAACUUCACUCCAGCUACAUCAGGGAAAUCAAGAGAAAAGCCUUUGUUCCCUGUGGUGCUGUUUGAACUCACACACUUUCUUCUGGGGAAGUUGAGAUUUUCUGGAGGAUUUUCUUAGCAGGAGACCAAGAACUCGUCCCUUGGAAGGAAAAAGCAAAAGGAAAAGCCCUUGCUUUGAUCCGUGAAACAAGGCCACAAAAGAAUGGUAUAUUACAGAUUUACAAACACAGAGAGAAUCUUUCAAACUGAACUGUAGAUAACCUGGCUCUGUGAAGAAACUUCACCACGUCUUGUGAUGAGAGCCCAGUGUGAAAACCAAGCCCUGGCUGCAACUGUCCUGGGAAGAUGGAAUGUACUGGGGAGAGUAGUUACACUUAACAAGAAGAAGAGAAGCUCUUAGCGCUAGCACAGCUGUGGUUUUAUGCCUGCCUCUACUGC
Molecule: long non-coding RNA, 738 nt
Organism: Hirundo rustica (Barn swallow)
Lineage: Eukaryota; Metazoa; Chordata; Aves; Passeriformes; Hirundinidae
Exons: 4
Source: RefSeq, a predicted model, not a curated record